GGGGAUAAAUUAAUAUUUAGUAUAAAUAAUAAAAUAAAUUUUAAAUAAAAAAUAUUUUAUGGGGGUUUAAGUAUUUUUUAAGAAAAAAUUUAUUAAUUUAUAGUGAAUUAAGUAUUGUAAAAUAAAUUUGAAAUAAUUUGAAAAUAAAUUUAAUAAAAAGUAAUUUUAAUUUAGUGUAUCUUGUGUAUCAGAGUUUAUUAAUAAAAUUUUUUAGGGGGAAAAUUCUCGAAUUAAAAGGAGCUAAUUAAUUAAUAAAUUUAUUGUGUUAUAAAUAUUUUAAAUAAUUAAUUUGAAAUGAAAAGUUAUUCGUUUUUUAAGAUAUCUAGUUUUUUUAGAAAAAAAUUUAAUUUUAAAUUAAUUUAAUUAAAAAAUUAAUUAUUUAAUUUUUUAAAAUUUUAUUUUAAUAUUUUAGGGGAUAAGCUUUAAAUUAAAUUUUUAUAAUUAUUGAGAAAAAAAAAAUUAAAAUUUUUAUAAUUUAUAUUGUUAAUAAAUUUUAAUUUAUUAUAAAUAAUUUUAUUUUAAGAAAAAUUUAUAAAAAAUUUAAAUUUUUAUAAAAAAAUAUUAUAUAAUUAAAUAAUUUUAGGUAUAAUGAUAAAAUUAGUAUAUUUUAUGAAAUUAAUAAUUUUGGAAAAAUUAAAAUUGAUUAAAAGGAAUUCGGCAAAUAUAUAUAUUCACCUGUUUAUCAAAAACAUGUCUUUUUGUUAAUAAUUUAAAGUCUAAUCUGCCCACUGAUUUAUUAAAGGGCUGCAGUAUUUUGACUGUACAAAGGUAGCAUAAUCAAUAGUCUCUUAAUUGGUGACUUGUAUGAAUGAUUGGAUGAAAUAUAAACUGUCUCUUGAUUAUAAGUUGAAUUUAAUUUUUUAAUUAAAAAGUUAAAAUAAGUUUAAAAGACGAGAAGACCCUAUAGAGUUUUAUAUAAAUAUUAAUUUUAAUUAUUUAUAUAUUUAAGAUUAAAAUUAUUAUUUGUAUUUUAUUGGGGUGAUAGAAAAAUUUAAUAAACUUUUUUUUUUGUGGACCAUGAAUAAGUGAUUAUAUUGAUCCAGAAUUUUUGAUUAUAAGAAAAAAUUACCUUAGGGAUAACAGCGUAAUUUUUUCUUUUAGUUCAAAUAAGAGAAAAAGUUUGCGACCUCGAUGUUGGAUUAAGAUAAAAUUUAAAUGCAAAAGUUUAAAAUUUUGAUCUGUUCGAUCAUUAAAAUCUUACAUGAUCUGAGUUCAAACCGGUGUGAGCCAGGUUGGUUUCUAUCUUUAAAUAAAUAAAAUAUUUUAGUACGAAAGGAUUGAAUAUUUAAAAUAAUUUUAAUUAUUUGAAUUUUAAUAAAAAUUAUUUA
Molecule: ribosomal RNA, 1328 nt
Filed under: Callizygaena splendens
Lineage: Eukaryota; Metazoa; Arthropoda; Insecta; Lepidoptera; Zygaenidae
Description: 16S ribosomal RNA
Source: RNAcentral